RNAcentral lists this non-coding RNA (30 nucleotides) under Mus musculus (house mouse). The record is from RNAcentral. Lineage: Eukaryota; Metazoa; Chordata; Mammalia; Rodentia; Muridae.
UGGCAUUGCUAACUUCUUGGGCUGUCAGGU